RNAcentral lists this ribosomal RNA (542 nucleotides) under Ammodytes cf. americanus. RNAcentral describes it as "partial 16S ribosomal RNA". It matches the Rfam family "Bacterial large subunit ribosomal RNA", at positions 1820 to 2595 of the family's 2925-position model. The record is from RNAcentral. Lineage: Eukaryota; Metazoa; Chordata; Actinopteri; Uranoscopiformes; Ammodytidae.
CUCUUGCAAAAUAAUGAAUAAGAGGUCCCGCCUGCCCUGUGACUCUAAGUUUAACGGCCGCGGUAUUUUGACCGUGCGAAGGUAGCGCAAUCACUUGUCUUUUAAAUGGAGACCUGUAUGAAUGGCAUAACGAGGGCUUAGCUGUCUCCUUUCUCUAGUCAAUGAAAUUGAUCUCCCCGUGCAGAAGCGGGGAUAGAACCAUAAGACGAGAAGACCCUAUGGAGCUUUAGACGCCAAGGCAGACCAUGUUAAACACCUCCCCAUAAGGAGCCCAAACCAAAUGGUCCCUGCCCUAGUGUCUUUGGUUGGGGCGACCGCGGGGAAACAUAAAACCUACAACUGAGAGCUACGGCUCUAAUGAACAGAAUUUCUGACCAACAAGAUCCGGCAAUGCCGAUCAACGGACCGAGUUACCCUAGGGAUAACAGCGCAAUCCCCUUUUAGAGCCCAUAUCGACAAGGGGGUUUACGACCUCGAUGUUGGAUCAGGACAUCCUAAUGGUGCAGCCGCUAUUAAGGGUUCGUUUGUUCAACGAUUAAAUC